This 27-nucleotide transfer RNA is filed under the name Equus caballus (horse). Its description in RNAcentral is "partial transfer RNA-Thr". The record is from RNAcentral. Lineage: Eukaryota; Metazoa; Chordata; Mammalia; Perissodactyla; Equidae.
AGUGGGAAACGUUCCUCCCAGGACUAU